GUACAGCUCCUGGGGCAAUCUUAGUUAGGUCUCUUGAGUUCAUUACUUCGUCUCUGAUAACAGAUGGUGUUUUCAUAGAGUCAUUUCCAUAAGGAUUAUGUAAGACAACAGAAAUAAUAUCAUGAAGGGUUGCCAUUUCUCAUAACUAAGUCAUAGGAUUAAAUCACAAGGAAAGCAAAGCAAGAUGAUCUGAACAGGCAUUUCUGCAGACUUGCUUACUUUCAAGUGCUUAGAAAACUCUCAGAUUAAAUAAGAAAGCGAUCAGUAUGUAUUUUACUCCUGAGUGCAAGAUAUCUGCCAAGACAAUGUGCAUUUACAUGUUUAGUGUACAAAUUGUUUGAAAACCUUCCCCCUGUUCUGCAGAAGCUCUCUCCUUUGAGACUUCAUUGCCUCAUUAUUUCAAGUGCAUCUCUUCUGGACAAAAUUUGAUUUGCAUAAGUCAGAAAAAAAUAAAAUUACCUGAAUAGAUCAGA
Pipra filicauda (Wire-tailed manakin) is the source of this 473-nucleotide long non-coding RNA. RefSeq lists it as uncharacterized. The transcript has 5 exons. The record is from RefSeq and is a predicted model, not a curated record. Lineage: Eukaryota; Metazoa; Chordata; Aves; Passeriformes; Pipridae.